GCGGGUUUAGCUCAGUUGGGAGAGCGUCAGACUGAAGUCCACUUCGGUUUCAUGGUCUACGGGUCAUGAGAAUUAAAUCUGAAGGUCAUGUGUUCGAUCCACAUAAACCGCA
Rhypophila decipiens is the source of this 112-nucleotide non-coding RNA. NCBI's taxonomy places the organism in Eukaryota, Fungi, Ascomycota, Sordariomycetes, Sordariales, Naviculisporaceae. The record is from the annotation of a GenBank genome assembly.